GAGGAGUCCUAGUUAUGACUCUUGUUAACCCAAAAAGAUGGAAGACGAUAUAAAGGGAACGUUCUCUAUUCUGUCGAAUUACAAUUCAAGGUGUUCAGAACCAAACCCAACAGUCAAAAUGGUAUGAGGCCGAGAGAGGAUUGGCAAUAGCGAUAAACUCUACACCAAUCCAGAGUAUAUUGAAAAAUGCAACAAGAAUUCAGUUAGCCGAAGAAACAAAAGAGUAUGAAUCGUGGGAGAGCUGUGCCUUUCAUUUAACAUGCCUUAAGGAGAGCCAAGAGAUGAAGAUAGUCUCAAACAAUGCAGACAAUUUGGAACAUGAGGAAUUUGAUGAAGCUGAUGAAUUUUGAUACUUUGAGAAGUUUUGAGUAAUAAUUAGUUUAGGUUUUAGCUAGUCUUCGUAAACUAUUUUUUCCCUUUUUUAUUAGCUAUUAUUA
This is a long non-coding RNA of Rosa rugosa (rugosa rose), 437 nucleotides long. RefSeq lists it as uncharacterized. NCBI's taxonomy places the organism in Eukaryota, Viridiplantae, Streptophyta, Magnoliopsida, Rosales, Rosaceae. The transcript is spliced from 3 exons. The record is from RefSeq and is a predicted model, not a curated record.